ACAGUGGACGCGAGCAUCUGUGGCCAAGUUUUUAAGGGCGCACGGUGGAUGCCUUGGCACCAGGAACCGAUGAAGGACGUGGGAGGCCGCGAUAGGCCCCGGGGAGCUGUCAACCGAGCUUUGAUCCGGGGGUGUCCGAAUGGGGAAACCCGGCAGUCGUCAUGGGCUGUCACCCAUACCUGAACACAUAGGGUAUGUGGAGGGAACGCGGGGAAGUGAAACAUCUCAGUACCCGCAGGAAGAGAAAACAACCGUGAUUCCGGGAGUAGUGGCGAGCGAAACCGGAUGAGGCCAAACCAGUCACGUGUGAUACCCGGCAGGGGUUGCGUGGUUGGGGUUGUGGGAUCUCUUUUCUGCAGUCUGCCGGCUGUGGGACGAGUCAGAAACCGUUGAUGUAGGCGAAGGACAUGCGAAAGGUCCGGCGUAGAGGGUAAGACCCCCGUAGCUGAAACAUUGACGGCUCGUUUAAGAGACACCCAAGUAGCACGGGGCCCGAGAAAUCCCGUGUGAAUCUGGCGGGACCACCCGUUAAGCCUAAAUAUUCCCUGGUGACCGAUAGCGGAUAGUACCGUGAGGGAAUGGUGAAAAGUACCGCGGGAGCGGAGUGAAAUAGUACCUGAAACCGUGUGCCUACAAGCCGUGGGAGCGUCGCGCAAGGAACUUGUUCCUUGCGUCGUGACUGCGUGCCUUUUGAAGAAUGAGCCUGCGAGUUUGCGGUAUGUUGCGAGGUUAACCCGUGUGGGGAAGCCGUAGCGAAAGCGAGUCCGAAUAGGGCGUUGAGUAGCGUGCCCAAGACCCGAAGCGGAGUGAUCUAGCCAUGGGCAGGUUGAAGCGGAGGUAAGACUUCGUGGAGGACCGAACCCACCAGGGUUGAAAACCUGGGGGAUGACCUGUGGUUAGGGGUGAAAGGCCAAUCAAACUCCGUGAUAGCUGGUUCUCCCCGAAAUGCAUUUAGGUGCAGCGUCGUGUGUUUCUUGCCGGAGGUAGAGCACUGGAUAGGCGAUGGGCCCUACCGGGUUACUGACCUUAGCCAAACUCCGAAUGCCGGUAAGUGAGAGCGCGGCAGUGAGACUGUGGGGGAUAAGCUCCAUGGUCGAGAGGGAAACAGCCCAGAGCAUCGACUAAGGCCCCUAAGCGUGUGCUAAGUGGGAAAGGAUGUGGAGUCGCAGAGACAACCAGGAGGUUGGCUUAGAAGCAGCCACCCUUGAAAGAGUGCGUAAUAGCUCACUGGUCAAGUGAUUCCGCGCCGACAAUGUAGCGGGGCUCAAGCACACCGCCGAAGUCGUGUCAUUCAUGCAAUAGCCCUAACGGGUGUGUGGAUGGGUAGGGGAGCGUCGUGUGCCGGGUGAAGCAGCCGUGGAAACGAGUUGUGGACGGUUCACGAGUGAGAAUGCAGGCAUGAGUAGCGAUACAAGAGUGGGAAACUCUUGCGCCGAUUGACUAAGGGUUCCUGGGUCAAGCUGAUCUGCCCAGGGUAAGUCGGGACCUAAGGCGAGGCCGACAGGCGUAGUCGAUGGACAACCGGUUGAUAUUCCGGUACCCGCUUUGAAGCGCCAAACAUUGAAUCAGGCGAUGCUAAGGCCGUGAAGCCGCCCUGGAUCCUUCGGGUGAAGGGGAGUGGUGGAGCCGCUGAACCAGACUUGUAGUAGGUGAGUGAUGGGGUGACGCAGGAAGGUAGUCCAGCCCGGGCGGUGGUUGUCCCGGGGUAAGGGUGUAGCCCGAGAGAUAGGCAAAUCCGUCUCUCAUAUAAGGGUGAGACCUGAUGCCGAGCCGAUUGUGGUGAAGUGGAUGAUCCUAUGCUGUCGAGAAAAGCCUCUAGCGAGUUUCAUGGCGGCCCGUACCCUAAACCGACUCAGGUGGUCAGGUAGAGAAUACCGAGGCGUUCGGGUGAACUAUGGUUAAGGAACUCGGCAAAAUGCCCCCGUAACUUCGGGAGAAGGGGGGCCAUUGCUGGUGAGGGAACUUGCUUCCUGAGCUGGUGGUGGCCGCAGAGACCAGCGAGAAGCGACUGUUUACUAAAAACACAGGUCCGUGCGAAGCCGUAAGGCGAUGUAUACGGACUGACGCCUGCCCGGUGCUGGAACGUUAAGGGGACCGGUUAGUCACAUUUCGGUGUGGCGAAGCUGAGAACUUAAGCGCCAGUAAACGGCGGUGGUAACUAUAACCAUCCUAAGGUAGCGAAAUUCCUUGUCGGGUAAGUUCCGACCUGCACGAAUGGCGUAACGACUUCUCGACUGUCUCAACCAUAGGCCCGGUGAAAUUGCAUUACGAGUAAAGAUGCUCGUUUCGCGCAGCAGGACGGAAAGACCCCGGGACCUUUACUAUAGCUUGAUAUUGGUGUUCGGUUCGGCUUGUGUAGGAUAGGUGGGAGACUGUGAAGCAUCAACGCCAGUUGGUGUGGAGUCAUUGUUGAAAUACCACUCUGGUCGUGCUGGAUGUCUAACCUGGGUCCGUGAUCCGGAUCAGGGACAGUGUCUGGUGGGUAGUUUAACUGGGGCGGUUGCCUCCUAAAGGGUAACGGAGGCGCCCAAAGGUUCCCUCAGCCUGGUUGGCAAUCAGGUGUUGAGUGUAAGUGCACAAGGGAGCUUGACUGUGAGACUGACGGGUCGAGCAGGUACGAAAGUAGGGACUAGUGAUCCGGCGGUGGCUUGUGGAAGCGCCGUCGCUCAACGGAUAAAAGGUACCCCGGGGAUAACAGGCUGAUCUUCCCCAAGAGUCCAUAUCGACGGGAUGGUUUGGCACCUCGAUGUCGGCUCGUCGCAUCCUGGGGCUGGAGUCGGUCCCAAGGGUUGGGCUGUUCGCCCAUUAAAGCGGUACGCGAGCUGGGUUUAGAACGUCGUGAGACAGUUCGGUCCCUAUCCGCUGUGCGCGUAGGAGUCUUGAGAAGGGCUGUCCCUAGUACGAGAGGACCGGGACGGACGAACCUCUGGUGUGCCAGUUGUUCUGCCAAGGGCAUGGCUGGUUGGCUACGUUCGGAAAGGAUAACCGCUGAAAGCAUCUAAGCGGGAAGCCUGCUUCGAGAUGAGGGCUCCCUCCCACUUGAUGGGGUAAGGCUCCCAGUAGACGACUGGGUUGAUAGGCCAGAUAUGGAAGCGCCGUAAGGUGUGGAGUUGACUGGUACUAAUAGGCCGAGGGCUUGUCCUCAGUUG
Molecule: ribosomal RNA, 3149 nt
Filed under: Streptomyces sp. A02
Lineage: Bacteria; Bacillati; Actinomycetota; Actinomycetes; Kitasatosporales; Streptomycetaceae
Description: bacterial LSU rRNA
Rfam family: Bacterial large subunit ribosomal RNA
Source: RNAcentral